RNAcentral lists this unclassified non-coding RNA (758 nucleotides) under Zea mays. RNAcentral describes it as "misc RNA Zm00001eb369290". The record is from RNAcentral. Lineage: Eukaryota; Viridiplantae; Streptophyta; Magnoliopsida; Poales; Poaceae.
CUUCGCUGCCAGCCUUCUACUAUGAAAGUCCGCCUCCGCCCCUCCUUCGCUGCUAGCCUGCUACUCGUCACGCCCAUCUCAUUCAUUCCGUCUCAGCCUCGCAGUCGCAGCGCCGUUGCGGACGCAGCCACGCAGGCGCAGGAGGCAGGACGGGACCUCGCCCUCCCCUGCCUUGCCUUUGAGUGCUUCCACUCCACCUCAUCAGUCGCCGCCCCCGCCGCGCCGCGGGCCCCUCCACCUACCCUCGACGCCCGCCCUUCUUGGCCCAGCGCCCCUGCACAUCUGCCUGCCCCCCUCGGCCGCUGGCGGCGGCGGCGAUCGCGGGUAGCCGCACCAACCGGGUUGAGCAUGUAGAAGGACUCGGAAUCCCUGGACCCCACGACGCGAUCGAAGUGCGCGCGCAUGUACGCCAGGUCGCCGGCGUCCUGCCCCUCGGGGGCGCCUACGGCGUCGGCCGGCAGCACGCCGGCGCCCGCCGACACCGUGCGCAGGAGCUGCAGGACCGUGAGGUCGUCCUCCGUGGGCUCCCGGCGCACGGCGUACCCAAUCUUGCGGCCGUUGACGUAGGCCGUCCACAGCGGCUCGUGGAGCAGCCUGGUGCGUCCGGCGCCUGGCGGCGGCUUCUUCUCGCACUCGAGCGCGACGCGCAGGUGCUCGGCGCCCAUCUCCUGCAUGAACCUCCCGGUCUGCAUGGCGAGCUCCAGCAGCAGCACGGGCACGCUCCCGGGCGUCUCCUGCACCGCCAGCGUCACCCGCGC